This 749-nucleotide long non-coding RNA is filed under the name Cyanistes caeruleus (blue tit). RNAcentral's name for it is "lncRNA (ENSCCEG00000008766.1)". The record is from RNAcentral. Lineage: Eukaryota; Metazoa; Chordata; Aves; Passeriformes; Paridae.
AUGGACUUCCUGGGUCCAUGGCUCCAUCCAUUUCCAAUAACAGUAAUGCUGAUCUGCCCCUUUAUAAAUAAAAACAAAGCUGUUAGGAAGUUAUAUACUAUGGGAUCAUUUUCAGCAAACCAGACUGUGAGUAGCCUUUUCCUUCUGUUUGACCCAGGAGUGGAAUUUGAUGAGUGCAAUUUGAUGAUGCAGAAGGACACUGUGGUACCAAGGUUUGAGCAAGGGACUGUCUCAGCAAGCUUGACACAGUCUGAAACUUUGUGGCUGAGAUCCUCUGCUCUGUCGUAUGCAGAAAAUCAGAUUUUCAUAAUAGAGUUUCUGGAUGAAGAGUUUGCCACUGGAGGUAUCUCUGCCCCAGAGAAGGAGUGCAGUCCUUGCAUGUAUUUUGUCAGGCCUCUCUCUAUAGCCCUGGGCUCCUCACAUGUCCAGCUGGAAGCAGGGAUUUCACUGGGAUGGAAGGAAUAAAGCUGCUGCCCACCCUUGGACACAAGCUGACUUUGGAGGGGAUUUGAUGGCAUUUAAGCUUUAAGGUUGCACAAAGACAAGAAGUUUGGAUUGCUAUAGCUGUCUUACCUGGGUUUAGUUUCAGUCCAUUUCCUUAAGGAGCUACUUGUGAGCAUUAUUUGAAUAAGCAGCCUUUAAUAAUAAGCCCAGAUGUGCUUAUGAUUGUAGGUGAUCUGUUUCUACAGUGGGUGUUGAAUUACUCUUUCUGAUUUGGGAAUAAAACUCCUGAAAGAGAUUUUGAAACA